GGAAAAUGUACCAUGUUACAGUUGUUGAAUAAAUGUUUACAUUCAUAUAUACUAAUUAGAUAUUUUAACAAAAGAGUUAUGGAGCCUACUGUGUUUUAAAGUUGAUUUGAAUUGAUUGAAAGACUAAGGCGAGGGCGAAUGCUUUUCGCUUAUCAUCAGUUUUGUUUGAUCUAGUACGGGUUGUUAAGACUAUCAGGCCAAUGUUCCGUAAAGACAAUGGACAUAAUGGCAUCUGGCUGGUUUCGAUUGAUAUUGACACUCGAGUUUAUUGAAUGAUAGGAGUAUAAAGCAGCUAAUAAAAUGACGAAAGAAAUUAUGGUAUUUACGAAAAUAGCCAAGCCACCCAUCAUGUUACUGCUUCUGUAUGAACUGACUCCUGUCAGCAACUUUUCCCUUUACA
Long non-coding RNA from Argiope bruennichi, 400 nucleotides. RefSeq lists it as uncharacterized. The transcript is spliced from 4 exons. Lineage: Eukaryota; Metazoa; Arthropoda; Arachnida; Araneae; Araneidae. The record is from RefSeq and is a predicted model, not a curated record.